This 483-nucleotide ribosomal RNA is filed under the name uncultured bacterium. Its description in RNAcentral is "partial 16S ribosomal RNA". It matches the Rfam family "Bacterial small subunit ribosomal RNA", at positions 28 to 523 of the family's 1533-position model. The record is from RNAcentral.
GACGAACGCUGGCGGCGUGCUUUACACAUGCAAGUCGAACGGUGAAGGUGGAGCUUGCUCCGCCGGAUCAGUGGCGAACGGGUGAGUAACACGUGGGCAGCCUGCCCCUAACUUUGGGAUAACUACUCGAAAGAGUAGCUAAUACCGGAUAUGAAGUCUGUAGGCAUCUAUGGAUUUGGAAAGUUUUUCGGUUAGGGAUGGGCCCGCGGCCUAUCAGCUUGUUGGUGAGGUAGUGGCUCACCAAGGCGACGACGGGUAGCCGGCCUGAGAGGGCGACCGGCCACACUGGGACUGAGACACGGCCCAGACUCCUACGGGAGGCAGCAGUGGGGAAUAUUGCGCAAUGGGCGAAAGCCUGACGCAGCAACGCCGCGUGCGGGAUGAAGGCCUUCGGGUUGUAAACCGCUUUCAGCAGGGAAGAAGCGAAAGUGACGGUACCUGCAGAAGAAGCACCGGCUAACUACGUGCCAGCAGCCGCCGCGG